Molecule: long non-coding RNA, 3952 nt
Organism: Cuculus canorus (common cuckoo)
Lineage: Eukaryota; Metazoa; Chordata; Aves; Cuculiformes; Cuculidae
Exons: 5
Source: RefSeq, a predicted model, not a curated record
AUAACAUUGGCCGUAAAAGGGAUAAGAAGAGAAGACAGAGCAGCAGCAUUGCCAGCUCUUUGUCUGGCACCUCAUCUACCAGAUAAACUUGCAGACAAGUCCGCUACACAGAGUGACUCCAAAGAAAUACGGAGCUGAAUUUCUCUGCAUCCCUGGUGGCACUGCUUCUGGGCUGAUGAACAGUGUACAGUGAGAAGAAAGCAGCUGAAACCCCAUGUCUGUUUUUUUUAAUGACCUCGCGGUAACUUGGAGUGCAUUACUGUUUUUACUGCUCAAGCACUGACGUGUGUGACAGCUGUCUCUGUGCUGCUGGCACUGUGGAGCAGCCUCUCUCCAAGAGAAAAUCCAUCUGUGCCAGAAACCAGGUUCUGGUAGGGGCUCAUUCCAGAUGAAGUACAUCACUGGAAUGCUUCUCUACUCUUCUGCCACAAAAAGAAGAGCUUCCUGAGCUUGCCUUGACAGUGUUCCUCAAGAUGGUCAGAGAAGGACAAAGUCAUCAGAGCCACCAGGACUGUAUGCAGUAAUACACCUCAAAAAUAAAAUGGGUUGUGCAGAAAAAGAUGAAGAAUCCUCACCAUUUCAUAGAACCGUGAAAGAAGUCAGCUUCCCCUGACUAUGGGAGAAAACAAGCAAGUCCAUUUAAAUUAAUUCAGCUUAUGAUUCUUCUUUUAACCAACAAUGAAUUGUUGGUCAUCAAGUAUUUAAGAGCCGAUGGGAAAUUUAAAAUAGCACUGAGAAUACAAUGGGAUGAAGGGGUGAAAGCUGAUAUUCUAUAUAAGACCAGUUAUUCUUAUAUGGAACAUGACUUUGUUUGGAGUAUUUACCACAAUUUGGGUGUGACUGCAAAUUCUCAUUGUUGUGGCAGGGUCAUCCCAUGCAAUGAACUCCAACAGGUGGUGAGUGCUGAACAAUACAAGGUGAGUGAGAGGUACCGGCUGCCUCAGGUGGCACGUUAAAAACAGUAAACUCAGAAGAAAUACUGAGCCAGAGAAGAAAAAGGCUGCAAAAUAACAAAGAAAACUCACAGUUGACCUUAGAAUUGCAAAAUUGUAUGUUGUGUUUCAUAUAUUAGAGGUGUUUUGUGUUAGUGGGGAUUUUCAACCACCCAAGGUCAGUUUUGGGGGCACUUCCACUUAUCCUAUGUCUGUAAUUUGAUGACUCUGUAUGUGUAUAGUGAAUGUGUAGCACCUACAUAGUUUUUAAAAAAGAUUCAUCAUUUUUUACCUGCUUAUGAGAUUUCCUAGGAAACAAUGCCCAGAGCUGCAUGGGUUUUAUAAACAACUUCUGGUUGUAUUUCAAACUCCUUUAUACCGAUAAAUUAAAUCUCUUAUAAAGUGAUUGUCUAAUUAAAGAUCUACUUUUAUCAAUUGUGCUUUAGUAUAUACUUGAGCUUUCAGAAUUAUGGUUAAGCACUUGAAUUUUAAAACUCAUGGAUUAUUGCAUUGAACACCAGGGGUCAAAGCAGUAAUACCACCAUUAACUCUACUUGUCUCUCGUAUUGUCAAUAAGCACUAUUUUAGGUCCUCAUUUAAAUUAGCCACUUCUUCUAAACUAGAGAUUACUCCUCCUGUGGCUUCUUCUAAGGGACUGGAAGCUCAAAGGAGAGUGUGCUUAAAACACCUAAUUUUUUGAGUGGUCAUUAGCAGUAACCAUUGGAAGAUUAUUGAUUUCCUCGCAGUCUGGAAAUGUAUGGAGUGCUGUAUAAUUACAAGUGUCUUUGAAUAAUGGAAUGUGUAUGAUUUGAUGUUGUAGCAUGACUAUUUAGUUGCAUUUUUAAUAAGGUGGAUACAGCUUACGGGUGGUUUUGUAUGGAACACAGAGAACAAAGGGCUGAGUUGGAGCUGAUACCUGUUUGUAAGAACAGUGAUGCCUAUUCCUACCACUACAAAUAGUUUGCGGACUCCCAAGGAGGUGCAGAGGAAAAGAGACUUCUUCGGCAUCCUUGAGGCAGCCAGCUAGUAUCAUCUUCAGGAAUUUGCUGGAUCAGAUGAAGAUACCAACAUGUUUAGUGAUUGUUGGAUGGACUUCGGUGGCAUGACCUUGUUGGUCCACUGGGCAGCUGUCACAGCCUCUAUUGGAAAGAAGUGCCACAGGUUUCCCACCUGGCAUGUGAAGAACAACUUUUUUUUUGUUUUUUGACCUCACUUUUUUUUUUUGCUCUAUGCCCCUAAAUUUUGCUGGAGAAGAUGGUAAAGAGUCUUUCUGUACAUAUCACUCGUGAUUUGUAGACCACUACUGAGGUAGCUUUAUCUCCCUCUUUCUCACUAGUAACUGCUCUCUGCCUCCUUCCACUUUCUCUCUCCAGAAAAACACUGUUGCCUUUUAAAGGCACUAAUGAAACUGUGUUGAGCCCGGAAAUUAUAACUGAUUGCAAGUGGAACUUGCCAGUUUUAGGAAGGGCUUCAAUUUGUUUGGAUUUGGCUCUUCUGACUGCUGAUACCGCUUCAAACACAAAUGAAUCAUAACUAAUGGUAAAAAGGAGGAACUCUUGGAUGGGAGGGCAACAAGAGGAAAGCAAGUUCAAUUGUAAGAUGCAAGAGUGGAAUAUAUUGUUUCACAGAAUAAGUGCAACAGAGAUAUUCCAAAAAGUACAUAUGGUCCAGCUCCCAGAUGAACUUGUGCUGUUAGGUAAUUCUUAGAUAUAGGACAUCUGUCAGGUGAAGCUGUGAGGUUGCAAUAAUACUUCUGUUGCUGAAGCUAUUACCGUCUUAAUAUACAAAUCUUGCCAAGUCCAUCUGAAUAUGAAACAUACUUAAAAAAUGAGUUCUAUGCAAAGGAACUCUGCCUAAAAUAGGCUAUUUGCAAACAGAAAUAGCUGAAGUUAAUGUGAGAGAAAAUCCUGUCGUAAAUUUCACGUUUCUUAACUUCUCUUUUUAAAGUCCCCAGAGCAUGUUUUUACACCAUAGGGUUGUUAUUUUUAAUAGAAAACUGUUCUGGUGGAUAGUGGAACUGUACUUUAGUUUCUCACCACUGUUUCUGGAGAAGGGAUACUGACAGUGUUUGGAAAGUGCUUUGAUACCCUCACAAAGAUGUCAUGUAAUUGCAAAAAAAAGUCAGUUGAAAUAUAUGUCUAGACAAAUCUCUGCUUCCAUAUGCAUGACAUUUGAUUCCUAGUUUGUAAACACUUAUUUAUUUUUUUUUUGUGCAUGGAUUGUUAGCUUUUUUUCCUUGUUAAAAACUACAUAUAACUAUAAAUUUCAGUUUCUUGUAGCUGUAAUUACUGCAUUUUUCUUGUGGACUGAAUAGAUAAGGUAGAAGCUAUUGAUUCUGUUUUUCAAGUAUUCUGCCCAUGUUAGGAAUUCAUCACCUUGAUGCAGCCAGUUUAUUAUCCUUGCUAUGUAUAAAUACUUUCUACAGCUACCAGUGACUGUACCAUACUGUAGUCCUUAAAUUCAGUGUCUGCAGCUCAGAGCGUGGAUAUCUUUGUUGCAUCAGAAGCAUUUUAUAGUGACUAAAACUUCAUGACAUGUCAGGAACAAGAGAAAAGUAAUUAAAUAAAUGAAAUGUCAAUUGUUGUUUUAGACAGAAAAUCAAUUCUUUUUGCAGGAAAACUCUUCCAAAUUUGGGCCUUCGCAGUAUUAGGUAAUUAUCAGUCUUGUGAUCCUAAUUUAGACCAUUGCUUCAGGAAAGUCAAUAGGUCAAAAUUAGCUACUCAAUUCAUUGAUGUGGAAGAAAGCCAUUCAUUUUUAUCACGACCCUAGCAGGAACUGCACAGUCAGAGGCUAUUAUAGAUGGGAAUUUGGUCUGUAUGUUGAAGCCAGAUUAAGCUGGGAAGACAUAAAGAAAAUAAAUGUUUUUUUGCUUUGCUGUCUGUCCUACGUCUUGUAAUCUCCUUAGUACUUAUCGGUGUGUAUUACCAUAGAGCUGAGUGCCAUUUUGAGGAGUAUUUGCAGAGACUAGAAGCACUGAGAAUAAGAUAUCAGUAAGUGUUUCAAAAAGUAAUCACACAUUG